GAGGCCUACCAUGGUGGUAACGGGUAACGGGGUGUUAGGGCACGACACCGGAGAGGGAGCCUGAGAAACGGCUACCACAUCCAAGGAUGGCAGCAGGCGCGCAAAUUACCCAAUCCCGACACGGGGAGGUAGUGACAAUAAAUAACAAUACGGGGUUCUUUCGGAUUUCGUAAUUGGAAUGAGUACAAUUUAAAUCUCUUAACGAGGAACAAUUGGAGGGCAAGUCUGGUGCCAGCAGCCGCGGUAAUUCCAGCUCCAAUAGCGUAUAUUAAAGUUGCUGCAGUUAAAAAGCUCGUAGUUGAAUUUCGGGACCAUCAUGUCGGUCGUGCCUCGGUACGUACUGGCAUUGUUGGUUUCUCCCUUCUGACGAACCAUGAUGUCAUUUAUUUGGUGUUGUGGGAAAUCAGGACUGUUACUUUGAAAAAAUUAGAGUGUUUAAAGCAGGCUCACGCUUGAAUACAUUAGCAUGGAAUAAUGAAAUAGGACGUUUGAUUCUAUUUUGUUGGUUUCUAGGAUCGACGUAAUGAUUAAUAGGGAUAGUUGGGGGCAUUAGUAUUCAAUUGUCAGAGGUGAAAUUCUUGGAUUUAUUGAAGACUAACUACUGCGAAAGCAUUUGCCAAGGAUGUUUUCAUUAAUCAAGAACGAAAGUUAGGGGAUCGAAGACGAUCAGAUACCGUCGUAGUCUUAACCAUAAACUAUGCCGACUAGGGAUCGGAUGAUGUUAAUUUUUUAAUGACUCAUUCGGCGCCUUACGGGAAACCAAAGUGUUUGGGUUC
This 776-nucleotide small RNA is filed under the name uncultured Glomus. Its description in RNAcentral is "SSU rRNA". It matches the Rfam family "Eukaryotic small subunit ribosomal RNA", at positions 336 to 1114 of the family's 1831-position model. The record is from RNAcentral. Lineage: Eukaryota; Fungi; Glomeromycota; Glomeromycetes; Glomerales; Glomeraceae.